RNAcentral lists this long non-coding RNA (211 nucleotides) under Mytilus galloprovincialis (Mediterranean mussel). Lineage: Eukaryota; Metazoa; Mollusca; Bivalvia; Mytilida; Mytilidae. The record is from RNAcentral.
CUUAAAGCACCUGCCCUUGGUGACUCCUGCAUAUGAACAACAAUACUAUUUGCUCAUAUGCAUCAGUCACGAGGAAGGACUUAACUCGAAGGUUUUUUUUUCUAUAAUGGAUGUGAUGCUGAUUCUGGUGCAUGGUCAAUAAUCACUAAACAUACAGGUUUUGAUAUGUGACUACAUGUAUUAUUAACUCAAUUUAUAUUUCAUGUUUUUU